UACGUAGGGUGCAAGCGUUAAUCGGAAUUACUGGGCGUAAAGCGUGCGCAGGCGGUUGUGCAAGACAGAUGUGAAAUCCCCGGGCUUAACCUGGGAACUGCAUUUGUGACUGCACGGCUAGAGUUUGGCAGAGGGGGGUAGAAUUCCACGUGUAGCAGUGAAAUGCGUAGAGAUGUGGAGGAAUACCGAUGGCGAAGGCAGCCCCCUGGGUCAAGACUGACGCUCAUGCACGAAAGCGUGGGGAGCAAACAGG
RNAcentral lists this ribosomal RNA (253 nucleotides) under uncultured bacterium. RNAcentral describes it as "partial 16S ribosomal RNA". It matches the Rfam family "Bacterial small subunit ribosomal RNA", at positions 524 to 776 of the family's 1533-position model. The record is from RNAcentral.